Molecule: transfer RNA, 77 nt
Filed under: Gammaproteobacteria bacterium
Lineage: Bacteria; Pseudomonadati; Pseudomonadota; Gammaproteobacteria
Description: tRNA-Arg
Rfam family: tRNA
About the family: Transfer RNA (tRNA) molecules are approximately 80 nucleotides in length. Their secondary structure includes four short double-helical elements and three loops (D, anti-codon, and T loops). Further hydrogen bonds mediate the characteristic L-shaped molecular structure. tRNAs have two regions of fundamental functional importance: the anti-codon, which is responsible for specific mRNA codon recognition, and the 3' end, to which the tRNAs corresponding amino acid is attached (by aminoacyl-tRNA synthetases). tRNAs cope with the degeneracy of the genetic code in two manners: having more than one tRNA (with a specific anti-codon) for a particular amino acid; and 'wobble' base-pairing, i.e. permitting non-standard base-pairing at the 3rd anti-codon position.
Source: RNAcentral
GCCCCCGUAGCUCAGCAGGAUAGAGCAGCCGCCUCCUAAGCGGCAGGUCGUGCGUUCGAAUCGCGCCGGGGGCGCCA